ACCUUAUCCAGAGUGGUGGAGGGAUUGGCCCUUCGAAGCCACAGCAACCGGUCCCAUCGUUAAGGUGGGGUGCUGGUGCUAAUUCCCACCUCGCCUAGGGCGGGGGAAGAUAAGGU
Molecule: non-coding RNA, 116 nt
Filed under: Deltaproteobacteria bacterium
Lineage: Bacteria; Pseudomonadati; Myxococcota; Myxococcia
Description: SAM-I sequence
Rfam family: SAM riboswitch aptamer (S box leader)
About the family: The SAM riboswitch is found upstream of a number of genes which code for proteins involved in methionine or cysteine biosynthesis in Gram-positive bacteria.
Source: RNAcentral